This 411-nucleotide long non-coding RNA is filed under the name Rhinopithecus bieti (black snub-nosed monkey). RNAcentral describes it as "lncRNA (ENSRBIG00000046341.1)". The record is from RNAcentral. Lineage: Eukaryota; Metazoa; Chordata; Mammalia; Primates; Cercopithecidae.
UCUGUCUCUGGCUGGAGCCCUCAAGAAGGUAGAGACCUGCUUGAACCUCCAAGAGUCAAUUUUCUACACCAGCAGCAUAGCGGUCAGAUGAGUCUGGUGCAGGAGCACUUGUAAAGGGACAGAAAGAGGAACCAAUUAGAGAGAAAACAAAUCAAAGGAUGAAAGGGAAGCGGAAAUGCCUCUCAUAUGGAGCAGACAUGGAGGUAAAGUUGAGCAGACUCAGCAGGACACCCUUCUCCAGAAAGUGUGUCUUAAUUAUGUUACUGGGGACUGCAGCCGUCUUUUCUCUCUGGAUUAGCAACCAGCAUUCCAAGCAGCAGGGACCGUCAGCCCCUGGGAUUUUCUCCUGUGAAGAUUCAUGGAUUAUGGUGAGAAUGACUCUGAAUUGGGAAAUGGGAGCCUUGGGUCCCU